This 454-nucleotide ribosomal RNA is filed under the name uncultured bacterium. Its description in RNAcentral is "partial 16S ribosomal RNA". It matches the Rfam family "Bacterial small subunit ribosomal RNA", at positions 28 to 507 of the family's 1533-position model. The record is from RNAcentral.
GAUGAACGCUGACAGAAUGCUUAACACAUGCAAGUCAACUUGAACUUCGGUUUGGGUGGCGGACGGGUGAGUAACGCGUAAAGAACUUGCCUCACAGAUAGGGACAACAUUUGGAAACGAAUGCUAAUACCUGAUAUUAUGAUUAUAUGGCAUCGUAUAAUUAUGAAAGCCAUAUGCGCUGUGAGAGAGCUUUGCGUCCCAUUAGCUAGUUGGAGAGGUAACGGCUCACCAAGGCGAUGAUGGGUAGCCGGCCUGAGAGGGUGAUCGGCCACAAGGGGACUGAGACACGGCCCUUACUCCUACGGGAGGCAGCAGUGGGGAAUAUUGGACAAUGGACCAAGAGUCUGAUCCAGCAAUUCUGUGUGCACGAUGAAGUUUUUCGGAAUGUAAAGUGCUUUCAGUUGGGAAGAAAAAAAUGACGGUACCAACAGAAGAAGUGACGGCUAAAUACGUG